GAUGAACGCUAGCGGCAGGCCUAACACAUGCCAGUCGAGGGAGAAGCCCUUUCGGGGGCAGAAACCGGCGCACGGGUGCGUAACGCGUAUGCAACCUACCUUUCACAGGGGGAUAGCCCGAAGAAAUUUGGAUUAAUACCCCAUAAUAUUAUUGGAUGGCAUCAUUUGAUAAUUAAAACUGCGGUGGUGAAAGAUGGGCAUGCGUCCUAUUAGCUAGUUGGAGUGGUAACGGCACCCCAAGGCUACGAUAGGUAGGGGUCCUGAGAGGGAGAUCCCCCACACUGGUACUGAGACAGGGACCAGACUCCUACGGGAGGCAGCAGUGAGGAAUAUUGGUCAAUGGUCGGAAGACUGAACCAGCCAUGCCGCGUGCAGGAAGAAUGCCUUAUGGGUUGUAAACUGCUUUAUAUGGGAAGAAUAAGGUGUACGUGUACAUUGAUGACGGUACCAUAUGAAUAAGCAUCGGCUAACUCCGUG
This 477-nucleotide ribosomal RNA is filed under the name uncultured bacterium. RNAcentral's name for it is "partial 16S ribosomal RNA". It matches the Rfam family "Bacterial small subunit ribosomal RNA", at positions 28 to 507 of the family's 1533-position model. The record is from RNAcentral.